Molecule: ribosomal RNA, 294 nt
Filed under: uncultured bacterium
Lineage: Bacteria
Description: partial 16S ribosomal RNA
Rfam family: Archaeal small subunit ribosomal RNA
Source: RNAcentral
GUGGCCAGCAGCCGCGGUAACACCGGCAGCCCAAGUGAUGGCCGAUAUUAUUGGGCCUAAAGCGUCCGUAGCUGGCCUCGCAAGUUCGUCGGGAAAUCCACUCGCUUAACGAGUGGGCGUCCGGCGAAAACUGUGCGGCUUGGGACCGGAAGAUCCAAGGGGUACGUCCGGGGUAGGAGUGAAAUCCCGUAAUCCUGGACGGACCACCGAUGGCGAAAGCACCUUGGAAGGACGGAUCCGACAGUGAGGGACGAAAGCUAGGGUCUCGAACCGGAUUAGAUACCCUGGUAGUAC